Molecule: transfer RNA, 74 nt
Filed under: Candidatus Woesebacteria bacterium RBG_16_42_24
Lineage: Bacteria; Candidatus Woeseibacteriota
Also listed under: 2 other names
Description: tRNA-Trp
Rfam family: tRNA
About the family: Transfer RNA (tRNA) molecules are approximately 80 nucleotides in length.
Source: RNAcentral
AGGGCUGUGAUGAAAUGGUAUCAUGGCGGUCUCCAAAACCGCUCUUCCAGGUUCAAAUCCUGGCAGCCCUGCAA